RNAcentral lists this long non-coding RNA (1992 nucleotides) under Triticum aestivum (bread wheat). RNAcentral describes it as "long non-coding RNA (TAES_LNC014925)". The record is from RNAcentral. Lineage: Eukaryota; Viridiplantae; Streptophyta; Magnoliopsida; Poales; Poaceae.
AUAUCUCCCACGGGUCGGGGCACGACUUAGAGGCAUAGCCGCAUUGUAGGUUUGUCACAAGAGGGAAAAUCUUCACACAAUCCCAUGUACUGAAUAAGAAAGGGAUAAAGAGCCGUCUUACAAUCGCCACUUCACACAAAUGCAAGUUAAACAUACAUCAUCCAGAAUACAAACAAGGCCCGACUAUGGAACCAAAAUAAAAUAAGACAACCCCAAAUGCUAGAUCCCCGAUCGUCCCAACUGGGCUCCACUACUGAUCAACCGAAAAUGAAAAAUAACACAACAAACAAGAUCUUCAUCAAGCUCCCACUUGAGCUGGGUUGCAUCACCUGCACUGGUAUCAUCGGCACCUGCAACUGUUUGGAAGUAUAUGUGAGUCACAAGGACUCAGCAAUCUCACACCCGCGAGAUCAAGACUAUUUAAGCUCAUGGGUAGGAACGGGGUAGUGAGGUGGAGCUAUAGCAAGCACUAAGCAUAUAUGGUGGCUAACUUACGCAAAUAAGAGCGAGACGAGAAGCAACGCAAUGGUCGUGAACUAGAAGUGAUCCUGAAUCUACUUACGUUCAAGCAUAACAAAAGAACCGUCUUCACUUCUCGAACUCCGCCGAAAAGAGACCAUCACGGCUACACACGCAGUUGAUGCAUUUUAAUUAAGUUAAGUGUCAAGUUCUCUACAACCGGAUAUUAACAAAUUCCCAUCUGCCCAUAAUCGCGGGCAUGACUUUCAAAAGUUCAAAACCCUGCAGGGGUGUCCCAACUUAGCCCAUCACAAGCUCUCACGGUCAACGAAGGAUAUUCCUUCUCCCAGGAAGACCCGAUCAAACUCGGAAUCCCAGUUACAAGACAUUUCGACAAUGGUAAAACAAGACCAUCAAGACCGCCCGAUGCGCCGACAUCCCGAUAGGAGCUGCACAUAUCUCGUUCUCAGGGCAACACCAGAUGAGACAUCCUACUAGUAAAACCAAACCUCAAGUUUCCCCGAGGUGGCCCCGCAGUAUACUCGGUUCGUACCAACACUUCGAGAAGCACUGGCCCGGGGGGGGUUAAAAUAAAGGCGACCCUCGGGUUGGCCGACCCAAGGGAAGGGUAAUAGGUUGUUAGGAAAAUGUAAAAUCAAGGUUGGGCCUUGCUGGAGGAGUUUUAUUCAAAGCGAACUGUCAAGGGGUUCCCAUAACACCCAACCGCGUAAGGGACGCAAAAUCAAGGAACAUAACACCGGUAUGACGGAAACUAGGGCGGCAAGAGUGGAACAAAACACCAGGCAUAAGGCUGAGCCUUCCACCCUUUACCAAGUAUAUAGAUGCAUUAACUAAAUAAGAGAUAUUGUGAUCUCCCAACAUAUCCAUGUUCCAACAUGGAACAAACUUCAACUUCACCUACAACUAGCAACGCUAUAAGAGGGCCUGAGCAAAAGCAGUAACAUAGCCAAACAACGGUUUGCUAGGAAAGGUGGGUUAGAGGCUUGACAUGGCAAUAUGGGAGGCAUGAUAUAACAAGUGGUAGGUAGCGCGACAUAGCAAUAGAGAAAACAACUAGCAAGCAAAGAGAGAAGUGAUUUCGAGGGUAUGGUCAUCUUGCCUGAGAUCCCGCAAGGAAGAAGCACGAGUCCACGAGGAAGACAAAUGGACGUAGUCAAACGAAUCCCCACAACUCCGGAAUGGAACCGAAGCUAACGAGAGAAGUAACCCAGAAAGAAGCAGACAACAUAGUAAACAACCACCACAUAAACAUGGCAUGAUGAAUAAUCAAGUAUGAUGCAUGUCCGGUUUAAUGCGGCAUGGCAUGGCAAAGUGCAACAAACAAAACUACAAAUUAAGGGGAGCUCAAUAUGCAACGAGUUGCACAUUGACGGAACACCACAUUCGAUUAUUUAGUUCACUCCCAUUUAGGUACUCAACAAUAUUAAAUGUUCUUAAACAUGGUAAUAUGGUGAAGCAAAUGAUAACUACCUAUCUAGGCAAGUUUAAAUGAGGCCGGAACAACAAAACAAC